This 455-nucleotide ribosomal RNA is filed under the name uncultured Sphingobacteriales bacterium. RNAcentral's name for it is "bacterial SSU rRNA". It matches the Rfam family "Bacterial small subunit ribosomal RNA", at positions 925 to 1382 of the family's 1533-position model. Lineage: Bacteria; Pseudomonadati; Bacteroidota; Sphingobacteriia; Sphingobacteriales. The record is from RNAcentral.
ACAAGCGGUGGAGCAUGUGGUUUAAUUCGAUGAUACGCGAGGAACCUUACCUGGGCUCAAAUGUAUGUUGACGUAUUCUGAAAGGGAUACUUCUUCGGACAAUAUACAAGGUGCUGCAUGGUUGUCGUCAGCUCGUGCCGUGAGGUGUCGGGUUAAGUCCCAUAACGAGCGCAACCCCUAUCAUUAGUUGCCAUCAGGUCAAGCUGGGGACUCUAAUGAAACUGCCUACGCAAGUAGUGAGGAAGGUGGGGAUGACGUCAAAUCAGCACGGCCCUUACGUCCAGGGCUACACACAUGCUACAAUGGCCGAUACAGAGGGCAGCUACCUGGUGACAGGAUGCAAAUCUCCAAAGUCGGUCUCAGUUCGGAUCGGAGUCUGCAACCCGACUCCGUGAAGUUGGAUUCGCUAGUAAUCGCGCAUCAGCCAUGGCGCGGUGAAUACGUUCCCGGGCCUU